AAUGUUAAAGAAGUAAAAACAAGCAGAAAAUGGCUUCAUCCUAAAAAUAUAGAUCUUUUGUGCACUUUAUUUAAAAAAGCCUGACACAACUGACGUUACAUCUUGUUGAUUUUGACAGAUCGACUUGGACACGAUCGACGUGAGCAACCUGAACCGUCAGUUCCUCUUCCAGAAGAAGCAUGUGGGCAAGUCUAAAGCACAGGUAGCCAAGGAGAGCGCUCUGCAGUUCUGUCCGUCUGCAAAUAUCACGGCGUACCACGACAGCAUCAUGAACCCCGACUACAACGUGGAGUUCUUCAGAAAGUUUGUGCUGGUGAUGAACGCUCUGGAUAACAGAGGUACUCAAACACAACAUCACGACUCUGACGUGUUGUGUUUCUUCAGUUUUGGUCGCACAUAGACAAAGAAGGUAUCAAAAUGACCGGCUCAGCGGGGGAUGUUGUGCUGUGACUUUUCUAAGAGCUUC
This is a long non-coding RNA of Larimichthys crocea (large yellow croaker), 466 nucleotides long. RefSeq lists it as uncharacterized. The transcript is spliced from 3 exons. The record is from RefSeq and is a predicted model, not a curated record. NCBI's taxonomy places the organism in Eukaryota, Metazoa, Chordata, Actinopteri, Sciaenidae.